Molecule: transfer RNA, 68 nt
Filed under: Marmota monax (woodchuck)
Lineage: Eukaryota; Metazoa; Chordata; Mammalia; Rodentia; Sciuridae
Description: tRNA.Ser
Source: RNAcentral
GGAUUGUGGCUGAGUGGUUGAGCGCUUGCCUUGAAUGUGUGAGGCACUGGGUUCGAUUCUCAGCACCA